This 1801-nucleotide long non-coding RNA is filed under the name Mytilus galloprovincialis (Mediterranean mussel). Lineage: Eukaryota; Metazoa; Mollusca; Bivalvia; Mytilida; Mytilidae. The record is from RNAcentral.
CGCCAUUGUUGUAAAGAGAGACGAUACCCUUACAGAUUUGUUUUCUCGUUUAUGUCAAUUGCUUUCACAGCUAAAGCAUAUAAGUAUAUUCAAAAGAUACAUCUAACUAGUUCCACCGAUUUGUUUAUACUAUAAUGUGCUUAGAUGAUGAUAAUAAUCCAAUGCAGACCUAUUUAAAUUCGGUCCAUUCAGCUUCCCCUCUUUCAAUGCUUUCAAUGCUGUAGAACCGGUGUGGCCCACCAUUUUAUUUUCAUAAAACUUAGAAACUUACGAUAAUAUAUGCAAUUUUAUAGUGUUAUUCUACUCCCGAUUCUUAUCCCGUUAAAAUGAUACUAUUUUCGUUUAUUUUGAUCAAAUAGUGUUUUCAUAAAAUACCAUCAAAGGUGAUUUAUUUAUUUUUCACAUUAGUACUCAAAUCCAGCUAUGCGAGAACUACCUUUUUUUCAUAAAACUUAGAAACUUACGAUUAUAAAUGCAAUUCCAUAGUGUUAUUCUUUUCCCGAUUGUUAUCUUGUUAAAAUGAUACUGUUUUCGUAUACUUUGAUUAAAUAGUGUUUUCAUAAAAUACCAUCAAAGGUGAUUUAUUUUGUUCACAUUGAGACCCAAACCCGGCUAUGCGGGACUUACCUUUUUUCAUAAAACUUAGAAAUAAUAGAAUAAAUAUGCAUUUUAAUGAGCCUGUAUUUAUUCCAAAUGUUUUCUUGUUAAAAUAAGAUCAGCGGGGCAUAUAUUUUAUUACCAUGGACAUGUAGACAUUCCCAAUUUAUUUCUCUUUUCUUUGUAAAUUUUCCCCAUCAUUCUCUAUUCUUCAUUUAUUUUAGCAUCCCAUCAUUCUCCAAUCUUAAUAUUUUGAUAAGAUGUUUCCUCUUGUCCUUACUUCUCUGAUUUCAAAUAUGCCGUUAUUCCGAUACUCUUUUGUAUGAAUGAAGGACAGUGCCAGAAAGUCACAGGACAAAAAGUCACAAUUCAUUUUUUCUGAUUAUUUUCCUUAAACAAAAAGCACUUAUUUCUAUUCUUGAACUUUUGUAUACAAACCAACUUUGUAUACAAAAAUUAUCACAACAUAUCAAAGAUGAUCAAAUAAUUGUUACAAAAAACAAAAUGUCAAACUGGUUUGGCACUUAAAUGGCUUCAUGGUGCCAAUAAGUCUUUCUUUUGUACAUGUAUUAUCAAAAUUUAAUAAAUCUUCAUUUUUCAAAUAUAAUAACACAUUUCGUAACUUUAAUAUGAAUAUAUGUUUUAAAGAUAUUUCUCUCAUAUAUACAAACAAUUAUCAAAAGAUUAUUUCGGAUAUUUUUUUGUCUUGUGAUUUUUUGUUCUACUAAUUUUCUCUGAUUUAGCAUAAUAAAAACCGGUAGAAUGUUGUAUGACAUACAUGUAGGAAGUAAAGUUUACAAGUAAGACAAAUAGUCUAUUCAACUCUAUCUUUUUUUUAAUUUAGAAUGCCAAAGAGGAAAAGAUGUAGAAAUUAACAAAUGGAGUUAAAAAGAGAGUAAUCCUCGACCAUGAACAGCUGUUGGUACCAGUAUGGAGGAGACAUCUGUUCCAGUUUCAAUCCACACUGAAGAUGGAAAGAGAAUGAAAAAAUAUGAACGCUUAAAUUUGAUUGUCAUGCUGUUUCUUUUUUCUAGCACCAGUGAGAGGCACAGAGCAACUGAUUGCACAAGAAAUUGAGAUAUUUGCAGUCAAUGAGACACACAAUAAAGAUGAAGAAUCUUGCCAUCUCCCUUUCACUGUAUGCAAUUUAUUACAAGUUACCAUCGCUGAUACAUGUAUAUAUCCUUAGCCGUACAGAUACCGA